Molecule: ribosomal RNA, 428 nt
Filed under: Bacteroidota bacterium
Lineage: Bacteria; Pseudomonadati; Bacteroidota
Description: Bacteroidetes bacterium partial 16S ribosomal RNA
Rfam family: Bacterial small subunit ribosomal RNA
Source: RNAcentral
UAGGGAAUCUUCCGCAAUGGGCGAAAGCUUGACGGAGCAACGCCGCGUGAGUGAUGAAGGUCUUCGGAUCGUAAAACUCUGUUAUUAGGGAAGAACAAAUGUGUAAGUAACUAUGCACGUCUUGACGGUACCUAAUCAGAAAGCCACGGCUAACUACGUGCCAGCAGCCGCGGUAAUACGUAGGUGGCAAGCGUUAUCCGGAAUUAUUGGGCGUAAAGGGUACGCAGGCGGUUUAAUAAGUCGAAUGUUAAAGAUCGGGGCUCAACCCCGUAAAGCAUUGGAAACUGAUAAACUUGAGUAGUGGAGAGGAAAGUGGAAUUCCUAGUGUAGUGGUGAAAUACGUAGAUAUUAGGAGGAAUACCAGUAGCGAAGGCGACUUUCUGGACACAAACUGACGCUGAGGUACGAAAGCGUGGGGAGCAAACAGG